AGCGUAGACGGAUGGACAAGUCUGAUGUGAAAGGCUGGGGCUCAACCCCGGGACUGCAUUGGAAACUGCCCGUCUUGAGUGCCGGAGAGGUAAGCGGAAUUCCUAGUGUAGCGGUGAAAUGCGUAGAUAUUAGGAGGAACACCAGUGGCGAAGGCGGCUUACUGGACGGUAACUGACGUUGAGGCUCGAAAGCGUGGGAGCAACA
This 205-nucleotide ribosomal RNA is filed under the name uncultured bacterium. RNAcentral describes it as "partial 16S ribosomal RNA". It matches the Rfam family "Bacterial small subunit ribosomal RNA", at positions 568 to 773 of the family's 1533-position model. The record is from RNAcentral.